ACUCAAAUGAAUUGACGGGGGCCCGCACAAGCGGCGGAGCAUGUUGCUUAAUUCGAUGCAACGCGAAGAACCUUACCUAGGCUUGACAUGCACGGAAAUCCUCCAGAGAUGGUGGGUCCGUAAGGGUCGUGCACAGGUGGUGCAUGGUUGUCGUCAGCUCGUGUCGUGAGAUGUUGGGUUAAGUCCCGCAACGAGCGCAACCCUCGUUCUAUGUUGCCAGCGGGUAAUGCCGGGGACUCAUAGGAGACUGCCGGGGUCAACUCGGAGGAAGGUGGGGAUGACGUCAAAUCAUCAUGCCCCUUAUGUCUAGGGCUGCAAACAUGCUACAAUGGCCGGUACAAAGGGCUGCGAUACCGUAAGGUGGAGCGAAUCCCAAAAAGCCGGUCUCAGUUCGGAUUGGGGUCUGCAACUCGACCCCAUGAAGUUGGAGUCGCUAGUAAUCGCAGAUCAGCAUUGCUGCGGUGAAUACGUUCCCGGGCCUUGUACACACCGCCCGU
RNAcentral lists this ribosomal RNA (497 nucleotides) under uncultured bacterium. RNAcentral describes it as "partial 16S ribosomal RNA". It matches the Rfam family "Bacterial small subunit ribosomal RNA", at positions 899 to 1397 of the family's 1533-position model. The record is from RNAcentral.